GAUGAACGCUGGCGGCGUGCCUAAUACAUGCAAGUCGAGCGAACAGACGAGGAGCUUGCUCCUCUGACGUUAGCGGCGGACGGGUGAGUAACACGUGGAUAACCUACCUAUAAGACUGGGAUAACUUCGGGAAACCGGAGCUAAUACCGGAUAAUAUAUUGAACCGCAUGGUUCAAUAGUGAAAGACGGUUUUGCUGUCACUUAUAGAUGGAUCCGCGCCGCAUUAGCUAGUUGGUAAGGUAACGGCUUACCAAGGCAACGAUGCGUAGCCGACCUGAGAGGGUGAUCGGCCACACUGGAACUGAGACACGGUCUAGACUCCUACGGGAGGCAGCAGUAGGGAAUCUUCCGCAAUGGGCGAAAGCUUGACGGAGCAACGCCGCGUGAGUGAUGAAGGUCUUCGGAUCGUAAAACUCUGUUAUUAGGGAAGAACAAAUGUGUAAGUAACUAUGCACGUCUUGACGGCACCUAAUCAGAAAGCCACGGCUAACUACGUG
Molecule: ribosomal RNA, 497 nt
Filed under: uncultured bacterium
Lineage: Bacteria
Description: partial 16S ribosomal RNA
Rfam family: Bacterial small subunit ribosomal RNA
Source: RNAcentral